Molecule: long non-coding RNA, 897 nt
Filed under: Salvia miltiorrhiza (redroot sage)
Lineage: Eukaryota; Viridiplantae; Streptophyta; Magnoliopsida; Lamiales; Lamiaceae
Description: long non-coding RNA (SMIL_LNC004526)
Source: RNAcentral
GAAAUCGUUUCCAGUUUUCAGUGAAUCCAUCUGCCCUGGCUUGCAAUGGUAAUCUCUCUCCCUCUCUAAGUUGCCAUAAUUUUCCAUCCUUAAUGUUAAAAUUGGUCAAAUGUGAAAAGUUUCCAGCUUUAUUGAGCAUGUUUAUUGUGUGGAUUUUGGCAAUUGAUGUAUGCUAUUGGAAUGAAUCAUGUAUAAAUCUGCCAUUAAAAUAUGCUCUGAGUUCUGAUUUUGGCGAUUGAUGUAUGCUAUUUGAAUGAAUCAUGUUUAAAUCUGCUAUUAAAAUAUGUUAUGAGUUAUGAUUUUGGCGAUUGAUGUAUGCUAUUGGUAUGAAUCAUGUUUAAAUCUGCCAUUAAAAUAUGUUCUGAGAUCUGAUAUUGCUUGAAUCCAAUUCUAAGAUAUAUUGAUUGCUCAGGAAAAUAUAGUGAUGAUGAGUGAAGAAAAUUACUGAAAAGUUGUCUUUAAUAGAAAUAACAUUGGAUUUUGAUAUGUUUGCAAAUGACAGGUGAAAUUUAUUGGGUAGUAGAUUUGAUGUCCUAACUUUUGAAAAGUAUCUUAAUGUAAUUAUAUCUUUAGAAAACGGUGGCGUAUGAGAUUAAGUUAUUAGGGUUAAACUUUACUUUAAUUUCUACAUUCAUGUGGUUGUUUAUGUAGACUCUGAGCGACGUGGUACGGUAUUUUGAAAAUAGUUGUUGCUCGCUGCCUAUGGCUCAUGACCAACUAUUGUUGAGGUGAGCUUGCAUUAGCUUUGGAGUUAUUCGUUUUUCUGCAGUGUCGAUGGGUUGUGCUUAAUUUUCUUAUUCCAAAACAUACUGUCGUUUUACAGAAAAAUAAAUUGAUAACUCAGCUGGGUUGGUUCUUUGGAGUUCGUAUAUGAUUUCAGUUCUUGGUGAAAUGAAG